GGCGGUUCUCGGGUGAUGCACCCUGGAAUCAGGCUCCCUCCUCUCUGUUUCCGGUGCAUCACCGGAGAACUGCA
Myotis brandtii (Brandt's bat) is the source of this 74-nucleotide non-coding RNA. The record is from Rfam. NCBI's taxonomy places the organism in Eukaryota, Metazoa, Chordata, Mammalia, Chiroptera, Vespertilionidae.